This 1568-nucleotide long non-coding RNA is filed under the name Homo sapiens (human). RNAcentral describes it as "HSALNT0026668". Lineage: Eukaryota; Metazoa; Chordata; Mammalia; Primates; Hominidae. The record is from RNAcentral.
AAAGAAAAUCUAUCAAGCUAUUGAUUAAAUGUGCAGGCUCAAGCCCUCCCUGGGGAAGGGAGGUCCACUGAGGAAUGCAGGAUGGGGAUUUUAGCUUGCAGCACAUGCCUCAGCUCCUCUUGCCUCAGUUUCCUUGCUUUGUAAAGGGACAGAUGCAUAGUUCUCUGGGGACUUGAGUAGAAAAUCCUGCUUAUGUAUCAUUAACUGAAUGAAUUUAAGCCUCCUUCUGGCAAUGAGAAACUGUGAGUACUGGCUCAAAUUUAGUGUGAGAACAAUUUCUCCUUAAAUUUUCCAGAACCUAUGACUGAGGGCUAGAAAAGAGCACUCCUUUUGCUACACUGAGAUAUCCUAUCCUCUUCUUCACCGAUCCUCCCCCUCCUCCUCAUCAUGGUCAUCAUUCCUGGCAUCUUCAGCUCCAUGGUCUGUGGCCACAGCCAUGACUCCCCAGCAUUGCCUGUACCUUGCGAAGCAACCCCCUUGGGUUGCUCUGAAGAGCAUUUGUCAUGUCUCCUGGCCCGCAUCACUGCCUAUGCCUGCCACCCAUGGAGCUCCUUGCAGGAGGCUUAUUGCUGCCUUGGCCUCAAGUACCCAUGGAAAGAAGUCCCGUGUCUGUGCAGAUGAGCCAAGUGCUCCCGAGGCCACCAGCCAGGUGGAAGGGGUGCCAGAGAGGUGUUGGGAUCUGGGCUAAGGCAAAAGAAUGACCCAGUGCCAGUCUCCCCUGACCCAGUGCCAGUCUCCAUUGGUUGGCCCCUAACUGUGUUUCUUGUUUCCAGACUCAUAGCAUUUCUAGCAAAGAUCUGUCUUUCUCUGGCUUUCCCACUAACCACCAAGAGUCCCCCUCAACCACCUCUCUGUACUCCCAGUUCUCAGUUAAACCCAAACUCCUACCUCUUCUUUCUACCUCUCGAGUCUAGAUAAAAGCUCCAUCUGCAUCAAUUCAGACACAUAACCCCAGUGGGAUUGCACUGUCUACACUGGCAGCAUCCAGGGAGGCUCUGUAGACUUCUAGCAAACAAAGUCAAAAAAUUGGUAGUCCUUAAAGUUCCUUGAAUAGGAAGAAGUUGUUUUCUGAACAAGCAAUCAGAAAACCUGCACAGAUAAGUUGAUUUAUGGGACAAUGAGGUAGAGUAUUUGUAAUUAGGAGUUUCCCAGAAAAUUCUGAAUACUGGAUUCAUGCAGCUGAAAAUCUUGACUACUCCAGGGAAGGAACUAGGCUAAGGCAUGCUUGGAGAAUGGGCUGAGUUUGGACACAGCGAGCCUUAAGACAACACCAAUGAUGUUGACAUGCUGACAACAUAUGGUCAUCAGCUACAUGCCAGAUACUGUAGGAGGCACUGUGUGUAUGUUAACACCAACCUUGGUAAAACUGUCACAGAGCUAGGACCAUCUUCAUAUGAAGCUCAGUGAAGUGAUUUGCCCAAAGACACACUGCCAACAUAGGGUGUUGAUGUGAUCUGUUUUGAUAAGUUACAAAGCUGGGGUGCUUGUCACAUAGCCACAUGCGAAGGACAUGUCCUGGCCGCCUGGAUCCCUUUCAUGGUCCAGGUCAUUGUCCCAGGACCAUGUGG